Rhododendron vialii is the source of this 640-nucleotide long non-coding RNA. RefSeq lists it as uncharacterized. The transcript has 2 exons. NCBI's taxonomy places the organism in Eukaryota, Viridiplantae, Streptophyta, Magnoliopsida, Ericales, Ericaceae. The record is from RefSeq and is a predicted model, not a curated record.
ACUCCAUGACCAAUAUCAGCGCCGGAUCGCCGUCGACCUUGCCGACGAGUCCACCUUCGCCAUCAAGUGGGCCGUCCACCAUUACCUCUGCCCCAGCGACGCCAAAAUCAGACCAAAUCAAUGGGUAUCACAUGAGACCCAUCGACGAUACACCGGAUAUUGAUGGAGAAAAAUGAAGAUGGGUUAUGUGAAAAUGGAAUUAGAAAAUUGUAGAUGGGUUAUGCUCGAACGCCGCCAUCUGGAUCGCCGGUCACGAGGAGUCUGACGACCAACAGGGUUCAGAAACGAAUUAUUCUCCGAGGAGGACUCCGAUCUGAUCAGGCUGAGGUUUUUGAAGGACAAUCCGAUGAAACUCACGCACCUUUCGACACUACUACUCAACGAUGAGGUGUUGCUUGAAGGUCUCUCCUUGCUGUCCCAAUAUUGCAAAGCUACUGUAGCAUUAUUAUUCUUCUUCUUUUGUUUUGUUUUGUUUUUUUUGUCAAAGGUAGCGUUAUUCAGUGUGAUGUGUUCGACGAUAUUUUAGCUCCAAAGCUUGAUUGAUGAUUUCUUGUAGUAAUCGAGUUUGUGGAGGAAUUAAGAUUUGAGAGCUGUGAGAACCGUGUAUUUUUCUAUGAGAACUGUAUAAUUUCUAUGAGAA